Molecule: small nuclear RNA, 164 nt
Filed under: Pogona vitticeps (central bearded dragon)
Lineage: Eukaryota; Metazoa; Chordata; Lepidosauria; Squamata; Agamidae
Description: U1 spliceosomal RNA (ENSPVIG00000000313.1)
Rfam family: U1 spliceosomal RNA
About the family: U1 is a small nuclear RNA (snRNA) component of the spliceosome (involved in pre-mRNA splicing). Its 5' end forms complementary base pairs with the 5' splice junction, thus defining the 5' donor site of an intron.
Source: RNAcentral
AUUCAUAUCUGGCAGGGGAGAUGCCAUAAUCGUAAAAAUGGUUUUCCCAGGUUAAGGCUGAUCCAUUGCACUUCGGAUAUGCUGAUCCCUGUGAUUUCCCCAAAUGUGGGAAAAUCAACUGCCUAAUUUGUGGUAGUGGGGGACUGUGUUUGUGGUUUCCCCUG